GACUCUAGAUUCCUGGUAUAUUCGAGUAUUACCAUCUCUGUUCCUGUUGAGGCGUUUGGGCCCGGUAAGAGAUAUGUUUGGUGGACGAAAUUUAGUGUAAAGUGGGGUUUACGGUCAUGUUUGUUCUUUAAAUGUUGAUGGAGAGUCAACAGGGUUGGAUCAAGUACUGCAACGGAGAUUUGGCUUUUGAUAGCCAUCUGUAUCCUUUCUAUUUGAGAUGUUUAUUCAUUUCCUUAUCUGGUAUGUAUAUUUGACUGAUUAGAAGUAAAGCUCCAUGAUUCUUGACUGCUUGUAUUUUUGGUACUUCAUUGGGCGAAAGCUCACCCCCGUUAUCUUUGUUUUCCUUACAGGGAUCAAACUUUGAAACUGUGAUUUUGGAAGAAAGAGUAGAGCUAGUUAUAGUCAUUCUUUUGAUUAAGCUCCUCUGUAACCAAAACCCUAAUUGUAUUUUGUAUAAGUACGGAUAUUAUAGCUUGUACUUCAAGUUAAUUUGUUGAAGACUCCAAUGUAUAUGUAUAAGUGUUUAUCAUGUAUCUUAAGUGUGCUUGUUUGA
This 553-nucleotide long non-coding RNA is filed under the name Coffea arabica (coffee). Its description in RNAcentral is "long non-coding RNA (CARA_LNC001847)". Lineage: Eukaryota; Viridiplantae; Streptophyta; Magnoliopsida; Gentianales; Rubiaceae. The record is from RNAcentral.